GCUACCAUGCAGUCGACGAUGAAGCCCAGCUUGCUGGGUGGAUUAGUGGCGAACGGGUGAGUAACACGUGAGUAACCUGCCCUUAACUCUGGGAUAAGCCUGGGAAACUGGGUCUAAUACCGGAUAGGAGCGCCUACCGCAUGGUGGGUGUUGGAAAGAUUUAUCGGUUUUGGAUGGACUCGCGGCCUAUCAGCUUGUUGGUGAGGUAAUGGCUCACCAAGGCGACGACGGGUAGCCGGCCUGAGAGGGUGACCGGCCACACUGGGACUGAGACACGGCCCAGACUCCUACGGGAGGCAGCAGUGGGGAAUAUUGCACAAUGGGCGAAAGCCUGAUGCAGCGACGCCGCGUGAGGGAUGACGGCCUUCGGGUUGUAAACCUCUUUCAGUAGGGAAGAAGCGAAAGUGACGGUACCUGCAGAAGAAGCACCGGCUAACUACGUGCCAGCAGCCCGGGGG
RNAcentral lists this ribosomal RNA (458 nucleotides) under Micrococcus luteus. RNAcentral describes it as "bacterial SSU rRNA". It matches the Rfam family "Bacterial small subunit ribosomal RNA", at positions 48 to 523 of the family's 1533-position model. The record is from RNAcentral. Lineage: Bacteria; Bacillati; Actinomycetota; Actinomycetes; Micrococcales; Micrococcaceae.